RNAcentral lists this unclassified non-coding RNA (336 nucleotides) under soil metagenome. RNAcentral describes it as "partial contains 5.8S ribosomal RNA, internal transcribed spacer 2, and large subunit ribosomal RNA". The stretch from base 1 to 120 matches the Rfam family "5.8S ribosomal RNA", at positions 35 to 154 of the family's 154-position model. The record is from RNAcentral.
GAUGAAGAACGCAGCGAAAUGCGAUAAGUAAUGUGAAUUGCAGAAUUCAGUGAAUCAUCGAAUCUUUGAACGCACAUUGCGCCCGCCAGUAUUCUGGCGGGCAUGCCUGUUCGAGCGUCAUUUCAACCAUCAAGCCCCCGGCUUGUGUUGGGGACCUGCGGCUGCCGCAGGCCCUGAAAAGCAGUGGCGGGCUCGCUGUCACACCGAGCGUAGUAGCAUACAUCUCGCUCUGGGCGUGCUGCGGGUUCCGGCCGUUAAACCACCUUCAUAACCCAAGGUUGACCUCGGACCAGGUAGGAAGACCCGCUGAACUUAAGCAUAUCAAUAAGCGGAGGA